Molecule: unclassified non-coding RNA, 392 nt
Filed under: soil metagenome
Description: partial contains 5.8S ribosomal RNA, internal transcribed spacer 2, and large subunit ribosomal RNA
Rfam family: 5.8S ribosomal RNA (bases 1-120)
Source: RNAcentral
GAUGAAGAACGUAGUGAAAUGCGAUAAGUAAUGUGAAUUGCAGAAUUCAGUGAAUCAUCGAAUCUUUGAACGCAUCUUGCGCUCCUUGGUAUUCCGAGGAGCAUGCCUGUUUGAGUGUCAUUUAACUUCUCAACCACAUUGGAUAUUUUUUUUCCGAUGCCUGCUUGGAUGUGGGGGUUGUUUGCAGGCUUUUUGUAACAAAAAAGGUCGGCUCCCCUGAAAUGUAUUAGUGGUAUCUGAGGCUAUUACUAUUAGGUGUGAUAAUUAUCUAUGCCUUUUGGGUAUGCCGCAUGAACAGAUUAUGCUGCUUCUAACGAAAACUAUUUUGAUGAAUUUGACCUCAAAUCAGGUAGGACUACCCGCUGAACUUAAGCAUAUCAAUAAGCGGAGGA